Molecule: ribosomal RNA, 1081 nt
Filed under: uncultured organism
Description: bacterial SSU rRNA
Rfam family: Bacterial small subunit ribosomal RNA
Source: RNAcentral
CUGGAGGGGAGAGUGGCGAACGGGUGAGUAACACGUAGGUGACCUGCCUCGAACACGGGGAUGACUGCUGGAAACGGUAGCUAAUACCCGAUGGUCUCGAUAAUUCGGUUUGUCGAGUAAAGGCUCCGGCGCUUUGAGAGGGACCUGCGGCCCAUCAGCUAGUUGGUAGGGUAACGGCCUACCAAGGCGAAGACGGGUAAGGGGCGUGAGAGCGUGACCCCCCACACUGGCACUGGGACACGGGCCAGACUCCUACGGGAGGCAGCAGUGAGGAAUAUUGCGCAAUGAGCGAAAGCUAGACGCAGCAACGCCGCGUGGGUGAUGAAGGCCUUCGGGUCGUAAAACCCUUUUCUGGGGGAAGAGUAAGGACGGUACCCCAGGAAUAAGCCUCGGCUAACUAUGUGCCAGCAGCCGCGGUAAUACAUAGGAGGCAAGCGUUAUCCGGAUUUACUGGGCGUACAGAGCGUUGAGGCGGCUUCGUAAGUUGGACGUGAAAGCUCCCGGCUUAACUGGGAGAGGCCGUUCAAUACUGCGGGGCUUGAGGACAGCAGAGGGGGGUGGAAUUUCCGGUGUAGUGGUGAAAUGCGUAGAUAUCGGAAGGAACAGCAGUGGCUAAGGCGGGCCCCUGGGCUGCUCCUGACGCUGAAGGCGAAAGCUAGGGUAGCGAACGGGAUUAGAAACCCCGGUAGUCCUAGCCGUAAACGAUGGAUACUAGGUGUAGGAGGUUAAAACUCCUUCUGUGCCGGAGCUAACGCGUUAAGUAUCCCGCCUGGGGAGUACGCUCGCAAGGCUAAAACUCAAGGGAAUUGACGGGGGCCCGCACAAGCAGCGGAGCGUGUGGUUUAAUUCCGAUGCAACGCGAAGAACCUUACCAGGGCUUGACAUGUAGGUAGUAGUGAAGCGAAAGCGGAACGAUCCUUCGGGAAGCCUACACAGCUGCUGCAUGGCUGUCGUCAGCUCGUGCCGUGAGGUGUUAGGUUAAGUCCUGUAACGAGCGCAACCCCUGCCGUUAGUUACAAGUGUCUAACGGGACUGCCCGGCAAAACUGGGAGGAAGGUGGGGAUGACGUCAAGUCAGCAUG